This 301-nucleotide ribosomal RNA is filed under the name uncultured bacterium. RNAcentral's name for it is "partial 16S ribosomal RNA". It matches the Rfam family "Bacterial small subunit ribosomal RNA", at positions 509 to 807 of the family's 1533-position model. The record is from RNAcentral.
CAGUAGCCGCGGUAAUACAGAGGGUGCGAGCGUUAAUCGGAUUUACUGGGCGUAAAGCGUGCGUAGGCGGCUUCUUAAGUCGGAUGUGAAAUCCCUGAGCUUAACUUAGGAAUUGCAUUCGAUACUUGGAAGCUAGAGUAUGGGAGAGGAUGGUAGAAUUCCAGGUGUAGCGGUGAAAUGCGUAGAGAUCUGGAGGAAUACCGAUGGCGAAGGCAGCCAUCUGGCCUAAUACUGACGCUGAGGUACGAAAGCAUGGGGAGCAAACAGGAUUAGAUACCCCAGUAGUCCCUGUCUCUUAUAC